AACGCUAGCUACAGGCUUAACACAUGCAAGUCGAGGGGAAACGACAUCGAAAGCUUGCUUUUGAUGGGUGUCGACCGGCGCACGGGUGAGUAACGCGUAUCCAACCUGCCCACCACUUGGGGAUAACCUUGCGAAAGUAAGACUAAUACCCAAUGACGUCUCUAGAAGACAUCUGAAAGAGAUUAAAGAUUUAUCGGUGAUGGAUGGGGAUGCGUCUGAUUAGCUUGUUGGUGGGGUAACGGCCCACCAAGGCAACGAUCAGUAGGGGUUCUGAGAGGAAGGUCCCCCACAUUGGAACUGAGACACGGUCCAAACUCCUACGGGAGGCAGCAGUGAGGAAUAUUGGUCAAUGGGCGAGAGCCUGAACCAGCCAAGUAGCGUGCAGGAUGACGGCCCUAUGGGUUGUAAACUGCUUUUAUAAGGGAAUAAAGUGAGCCUCGUGAGGCUUUUUGCAUGUACCUUAUGAAUAAGGACCGGCUAAUUCCGUGCCAGCAGCCGCGGUAAUACGGAAGGUCCGGGCGUUAUCCGGAUUUAUUGGGUUUAAAGGGAGCGUAGGCCGGAGAUUAAGCGUGUUGUGAAAUGUAGACGCUCAACGUCUGCACUGCAGCGCGAACUGGUUUCCUUGAGUACGCACAAAGUGGGCGGAAUUCGUGGUGUAGCGGUGAAAUGCUUAGAUAUCACGAAGAACUCCGAUUG
This 696-nucleotide ribosomal RNA is filed under the name uncultured bacterium. RNAcentral's name for it is "bacterial SSU rRNA". It matches the Rfam family "Bacterial small subunit ribosomal RNA", at positions 32 to 715 of the family's 1533-position model. The record is from RNAcentral.